CCUACGGGAGGCUGCAGUGGGGAAUAUUGGACAAUGGGGGCAACCCUGAUCCAGCCAUGCCGCGUGUGUGAAGAAGGCCCUCGGGUUGUAAAGCACUUUCAGUGAGGAAGAACGCCUGGUGGUUAAUACCCAUCAGGAAAGACAUCACUCACAGAAGAAGCACCGGCUAACUCCGUGCCAGCAGCCGCGGUAAUACGGAGGGUGCGAGCGUUAAUCGGAAUUACUGGGCGUAAAGCGCGCGUAGGUGGCUUGAUAAGCCGGUUGUGAAAGCCCCGGGCUCAACCUGGGAACGGCAUCCGGAACUGUCAAGCUAGAGUGCAGGAGAGGAAGGUAGAAUUCCAGGUGUAGCGGUGAAAUGCGUAGAGAUCGGGAGGAAUACCAGUGGCGAAGGCGGCCUUCUGGACUGACACUGACACUGAGGUGCGAAAGCGUGGGUAGCAAACAGGAUUAGAUACCCGAGUAGUC
Molecule: ribosomal RNA, 465 nt
Filed under: Vreelandella stevensii
Lineage: Bacteria; Pseudomonadati; Pseudomonadota; Gammaproteobacteria; Oceanospirillales; Halomonadaceae
Description: partial 16S ribosomal RNA
Rfam family: Bacterial small subunit ribosomal RNA
Source: RNAcentral